Molecule: ribosomal RNA, 253 nt
Filed under: uncultured bacterium
Lineage: Bacteria
Description: partial 16S ribosomal RNA
Rfam family: Bacterial small subunit ribosomal RNA
Source: RNAcentral
UACGAAGGGUGCUAGCGUUGUUCGGAAUUACUGGGCGUAAAGCGCGCGUAGGCGGCGACUCAAGUCAGGGGUGAAAUCCUUGGGCUCAACCCAAGAAUUGCCUUUGAAACUGUGUUGCUAGAGUGUCGGAGGGGAUAGCGGAAUUGCUAAUGUAGAGGUGAAAUUCGUAGAUAUUAGCAGGAACACCGGUGGCGAAGGCGGCUAUCUGGACGACAACUGACGCUGAGGCGCGAAAGCGUGGGGAUCAAACAGG